RNAcentral lists this ribosomal RNA (251 nucleotides) under uncultured bacterium. Its description in RNAcentral is "partial 16S ribosomal RNA". It matches the Rfam family "Bacterial small subunit ribosomal RNA", at positions 524 to 774 of the family's 1533-position model. The record is from RNAcentral.
UACGGAGGGUGCGAGCGUUGUCCGGAAUCAUUGGGCGUAAAGGGCGCGUAGGUGGCCUGCUAAGCGUGCGGUGAAAGUCGGGGGCUCAACCCCCGAUCGGCCGUGCGAACUGGGAGGCUUGAGCACUGUAGAGGCAGGCGGAAUUCCGGGUGUAGCGGUGGAAUGCGUAGAGAUCCGGAAGAACACCGGUGGCGAAGGCGGUCUGCUGGGCAGUUGCUGGCACUGAGGCGCGACAGCGUGGGGAGCAAACA